RNAcentral lists this ribosomal RNA (604 nucleotides) under Escherichia coli. RNAcentral describes it as "bacterial SSU rRNA". It matches the Rfam family "Bacterial small subunit ribosomal RNA", at positions 105 to 705 of the family's 1533-position model. Lineage: Bacteria; Pseudomonadati; Pseudomonadota; Gammaproteobacteria; Enterobacterales; Enterobacteriaceae. The record is from RNAcentral.
GGUGAGUAAUGUCUGGGAAACUGCCUGAUGGAGGGGGAUAACUACUGGAAACGGUAGCUAAUACCGCAUAACGUCGCAAGACCAAAGAGGGGGACCUUCGGGCCUCUUGCCAUCGGAUGUGCCCAGAUGGGAUUAGCUAGUAGGUGGGGUAACGGCUCACCUAGGCGACGAUCCCUAGCUGGUCUGAGAGGAUGACCAGCCACACUGGAACUGAGACACGGUCCAGACUCCUACGGGAGGCAGCAGUGGGGAAUAUUGCACAAUGGGCGCAAGCCUGAUGCAGCCAUGCCGCGUGUAUGAAGAAGGCCUUCGGGUUGUAAAGUACUUUCAGCGGGGAGGAAGGGAGUAAAGUUAAUACCUUUGCUCAUUGACGUUACCCGCAGAAGAAGCACCGGCUAACUCCGUGCCAGCAGCCGCGGUAAUACGGAGGGUGCAAGCGUUAAUCGGAAUUACUGGGCGUAAAGCGCACGCAGGCGGUUUGUUAAGUCAGAUGUGAAAUCCCCGGGCUCAACCUGGGAACUGCAUCUGAUACUGGCAAGCUUGAGUCUCGUAGAGGGGGGUAGAAUUCCAGGUGUAGCGGUGAAAUGCGUAGAGAUCUGGAGGA